Molecule: long non-coding RNA, 6746 nt
Filed under: Capsicum annuum
Lineage: Eukaryota; Viridiplantae; Streptophyta; Magnoliopsida; Solanales; Solanaceae
Description: long non-coding RNA (CANN_LNC019959)
Source: RNAcentral
UCUAAUGUCUUCUUAGCUCAAAAUUAGUACAAAUCUUGCUCCAAGCUCCAAGAAAUUACAAAAAUCCUAGACUAAAGAUAGAAAAUAAUAGGGAGGAGAGAAGCUGAAAAUUCCUACAAGGGAGGCUGCUCCCAAGAUAGAUAAAUUAGGUUAGAAAAUAAGGCUAAGGCCUUCUUUUAGACCCCUCUGUACGUGCUGAAAAUUACAAAACUGCCCCUAUUUCUGAUCUGCUUGAGCAGAUGCAAUGCGGAUGUGACGCGGAUGAUUAUUUUCCCUCACAUUUGACCUCUUGAUGACUUGAAUAACUUGCAUGAUUUUUCCAAUCUUCUCUUUUUAAUUUUACCUACAUAAAUGAGCAUUAAGUAUGAGAGCACCAUCAAAAUAAAUGAAAAAACAUGAUAAUUUAGGCUUAAAAGGUGCUAAAAAGUCAUCAAAUUGUCGACUUAUCAUGUGUGAUACACUGUCUUUGCUGAAUCAACAAAAGGUGUCAAAAUGACACACUUUGUGGCUACUUGAGGUGCCAAAAGUGAACAACGUCCACUUGAGGUGCCAAAGUGAAAGAUCAUGACAAGUUUAGGGAGGUGUCGAUGGGUUUGGCCAAUAGAUAAAAGUAAAUAAUAAUUACUACUUUUUUCGUUUAAAAAUGAGUGACCUACUUUGUUUUUUAUUUUAUUUCAAACAGAUUGAAAUUUUCUCUUUUGAUAACAUUUUAGUUUUAAUUUUUAUGUGGCAUAUUCAAGACCACAAAAAUAAAGGACAUAUUUGAUACAUUUAAUAUAACUUUAAUUUUAAAAUUUCAAAUUUUCCUAAAUUUCAUAGCGUGUCAAAUAAAAACAUAUAUUUCUUUUAAACGGACGGAAUAAUAACAAUAAAAUAAAGUAGUAACCACCAAAGAAUGUGGUGUAUUGGAUGGAGGUGCUCCUAUCUUAACCAGAGGUCUCGGAUUGAGCCUUGGGUAUGGAAAAAUCCUUGGUAAGGAGCGCUACCCCUGAAUGAGGCCCUACUCGGUGCGAAUUUGGAUUAGUCAGGAUCCAAUGCGGUUUCCAAACAUUAGAUGGGAAAUCAAAAAAUAAAAUAAAAUAAAGUAGUAAUACCAAAGAAUGUGGUGCAGUGGAUGGAGUUGCUCUACCUUAACCAAAAGUCUCGAGUUCGAGCCUUGGGUAUGAAAAAAUCCUUGGUAAGGAGUGUUACCCCCGAAUGGGACCCUACUCGACACGAAUUUGGAUUUAUCGGGCUUCAAUUCGGUUUUUGGACACCGGAUGGGAAACAAAAAGAAAUUAAAAAUAAAAUAAAGUAAUAGAAAAAAGAAAGAGUACCUCCUAAAACACUCCUAAAUUCAGACCUCCAAAUUUUCGAUCUAAAUUCGCCGGAGUACUCAUCGAAAAAAAGUAUGAACGCCGCUGAAAAUAGCCGGUGCUGGGACCGACGAGACAACACUAGGUUUUCUAAGAAGCAGAAACUCAUACUUAACACAGAAGAACAACUCGAAUCUAUGCUCGGAUUUGAUAUCUUCACUGAAGGCAAUAAACGACUCGGCUGGCUUCUUACACUUUUUUCUAUACUACUUUUACUUCUCAAAUUUUACUUCAGUAUAUUUUUUUUUGAAUUUCUUGUGAAUAUGUGAAUUGUCGAGUUUUUUUGUGAAAUUGUGAAUUUUUUUUAAAUUUCUUGUGCAAAUGUGAAUCUGUGAGUUAGUUUUUUAAAUUUUUUGUGGAAAUGUGAAUUUGUGGGUUAGUUUUUUUGAAUUUCUCAUGAAAAUGUGAAUUUGUGGGUUAGUUUUUUUGAAUUUCUCAUGAAAAUGUGAAUUUGUGAGUUAGUUUUUAUUUGAAAAAAUGUGAAUUUUUUAGUUUUUAUGUGAAAAAUGUGAAUUUUGUGAAAAAAGUAUAAAUUCCGCUGAAAAUAGUUGGUGUUGAGACUGGCGAGACAGCUCUAGGUUUUCUAAGAAGCAGAAGCUCAUACUUUACUCCGAAGAAUAGUUCGAAUCUAAUCUCGGAUUUGAUGUCUUCACCGAAGGCAAUAAAUGACUCGGCUGGCUGCUUACUUUUCCUCUGUACUACUCCUCCUCCUCAUUUUCUUUGUAAAAAUGUGAAUUUUGAGCUCUUUUUUUUUUUUUUGGAAAUGUGAAUUUGUGAAUUUUUUUUUUUGUGAAAAAUGUGAAUUUUGUGUGUUAUGUUUUUUUUUUUUUGUGAGAAAUGUGAAUUCAGAGAUUUUUUUUUUUUUUUGUUGUGAAAAUGCGAAUUUUGAUUUUUUUUUUUGGUUGUGAAAUUGUGUUUUUGAUGUGAAUUAUUUUUUGUUUGUGAAAAUGUGAAUUUUGUGUGGUAUUUUUUGAUUUUUUGUGAGAAAUGUGAGUUUUGUCAAAAAAGUGUGAUUUACGAUGAAAAUAGUCGGUGAUGAGACUGGUGAGACAACACUAGGUUUUCUAAGAACUAGAAAAUCAUACUCAACUCCGAAGAACAGCUCGAAUUCGAUGUCUUCACCGAAGGGGAUAAACGACUUGGCUGGCUUCUUACUCUUUUCCUCUGUACUACUUCCACUCCUCAAAUUUUACUUCAGUAUAUUUUUCUUUUGAAGUUUUUGUGAAUAUGUGAAUUGUCGGGGUUUUUUGUGAAAUUGUGAUUUUUUUUAAGUUCUUGUGGAAAUGUGAAUCUGUGAGUUAGUUUUUUUUUAUUUUUUUGUGGAAAUGUGAAUUUGUGAGUUAGAUUUUUUGAAUUUCUCAUGGAAAUGUGAAUUUAUGAGUUACUUUUUAUGAUUUUUUUUGUGGAAAUGUGAAUUUGUGAGUUAGUUUUUUUUGUGAAAAAUGAGAAUUUUGUGAAAAAGUACAAAUUCCGCUAAAAAUAGUCAAUGUUGAGACUGGCGAGACGGUACUAGGUUUUCUAAGAAGCAUAAGCUCAUACUUAACUCCGAAGAAUAGUUCGAAUAUAAGCUCGGAUUUGAUGUUUUCACCGAAGGCAAUAAACGACUUAUUGGCACAAAAUGAUUAACCCCUAUUUAGUUAGUUCAGUUAUUAGUUCAUAGUUUAGUUUAGUUAGUAUUAUUGUUUCAGCAAUUCUACUUUGUUUAGGAUACUGCAUUCAACUCAAUGUUUAGUUAUAUUACGUUAGUAGUGUUUGUCUUGGAUUCUUAUUUUCUCUGUAACUAUAUUUAAAACGCUUUCUGCGUUCUUCAAUAAUAAUUUUGUCCAACACUUAUUCUGCGUUUAUAUAGUAUCAGCGCUCUAUACUCUUUAACGAGGACAAUCCUAUUUUUUCCCUUCUCUCUUCCUCACACAGAUCAGCAUCAAUGGCCAACAACAAUGGCAACAAUCCCAGAUUUUUUAAUGCUGAUAACACAACAGGUGCUAACAUUAUCAUUCAAUUCAACCCUGCGUCCAAAUUACCCAUCAAACUUAGCGGUGGCCACAACUUUGCCACCUGGAAAGCUUAAUUAUCCAUGCUUAUGUAUGGUUACAAUCUAUUUGUCCAUCUCGAUGGGAGCACUCCUGCCCGUACUCGCACCCUCACCAUUGGAAAUAACAUAUUUCCCAAUCCUGUCUUUUUAACUUGGUUCCGUCAGGACCAACUCAUCCCGAAUGCCCUCAUGGCAUCUAUUGAACCCACAAUUGCUGCAACCAACUCUGCCAAAUCAGUUUGGGACACUGUGCAUACUACUUAUGCAAACAGAUCACAAACCCGUGUCUUCAUCCUACAUGAUCAACUUGCUCGCUUCACUAAGGAAUCUUGCUCCAUCACUGAAUAUCUUCAUACUAUUCGGUCCCUUUCGGAUGAGUAGCUACUGUCGGAUCUCCUGUGUCCAAUCCUGAGCUCAUCGUCAUGAUACUUAGCAGUCUAGGUCCUUAAUUUUGUGAAAUCUCUACUGAUAUUCGUGCACGUAAUACGGCUUUCUCAUAUAAGGAAUUGUUUGAAAAGCUACUUGACCGUGAACUCUUCCUUCGUCAUAAAGAUAUUAAGAAACUUUCCAGUCCUAUAACUAUCGCGGUCGCUACUCCCACAAAAUCCAAUGCCAAUAACUUUACCAAUAGCCGGCAGAAUGAUAAUUCUCAAUAGUGGCACCAGAAUUCACGUCCUAACACUAAACCACAGUUGCAGUCCAACUCCAAUAAAAAACUUUCACUCGAUGUCAACUAUGCAAUUGGAUUGGCCAUACCGCCAAUGUUUGUUGUUGAAAGUCUCAUAAUCACUUAGAAGUCAAAGCCAACUAAUCUGCUGGAUUUACUGCUACCACCAAUCCUUGGAUAGUCAACUUUGGAGCCACCCAUCACAUCACAACGGAGCCACAUAACCUACAACCAUACCACGGUAACGAGGAUGUAUCCAUGGGUAACUAUAACAAAAUUCCCAUCUCCCAUACUGGUUCUACUCAAUUAAAUGCAUCAAACAAUGUUUUUAAGCUAAAUCACACUCUUUGUUCCCCAUUUAUUAAACGCAAGUUUCUUUCUGUUUCAAAAUUUUAUCAAUAUAAUUCAAAGUCCAUUGAAUUUUUUCCCUUUGAUUUUGUUGUGAAGGAUGAAAAUGCGGAAACCACUGGUGCACGGUCGGACCAACAAUGGCUUGUAUGAGUGGCUCGUUUCACAUCCCCAAGCUCACAUGACUACCACAUCCACUCCUCUCACUACUUGGCAUCAGCGUUUGGGUCAUCCCCACUUCAUAGUUCUUAGGUUUAUUUUAAGUAAAUUCUCGCUACCGUUUUAUGAGCGAGACAAACCUUUUUAUUGUAAUUCUUGCUUAUCUAAUAAAGAAGAUCGGCAUCUUUUUACUCAAUUAUCAUUAGGCAGCUCUAAACCGCUUCAAAUAUUCUUAGUAAUUUAUGGGGUCCAUCACCAGUCUUAUCUCUUGACAAGAAAUUAUAUUAUUAUAUUUUUGUUGAUAAAUAUACUUGGCUUUUGUAAGACCCCGCAAAAUCGCAAGUCGAAAUCAACUUGUUAAGCUCCUUAAGCUUUUUAAAAGCUCCAACACUUAAAAAAUUUUAGCUAAGUAUUCAACACUUAGUCUCAUUUUUAGCCUUCAAACUUCGAAGAUUUAUUUGACGACCUUCCCGACCUCCAUUUUUUUAUUUUCAAGUUGCAUUAUGAUGGGGCAAGACAAUAGUACAUUUGGAGUAAGUUUUGGAAUUUUUGGACUCCGUUUAGGGCAUGUUUGGAUUUCAAACCAGUAGCAUCAUGCGAUUAGCAUGCGUCACAUGGUCCAUUCCACUGGUCCUAGAAUGCGAUAGAGCAUGCGACGCAUGCACCAGUUCGGAGGAAUGGAGUAUGUGACGCACGCUCCAUAGCAUGCUGCCUAGUUUUUCAGCAUUCAACCUCCGUGUAUUGAGGGUUAAUUUGGUCAUUUUACCACCAUAUAUAUACUCUCUAAUAGGGGAUUUAGCCCCAAUUGAAGCAAAAAUACUCUUUUUCUCAAAAUUCUCUCAAGAACACAAGCUAGGGUGUUCAUAGAAGAUCCAUUUACAAGAAAUUCUCUUUGUGAAACUUCAUGAAAUAACGAACUAAGGUAUGUGUUGUGUUGAUUUAUGAAUUCCUUUCAUCCAUAAAGCUCAAGAACCCUGUUUUAAAUUAUAAAUUUUGAUGUCUAUAUUUUUGGAUGUUGAUGAUCAUGUUGUUGAUGUUGAAUGAUUCCUAAGUUGGAAUCUUUAUGUGUUUUUAUGAAUCUAUGAUAUCAUGUGAGUUGGAAACAUGUAAACUUUGUUGUUCAUGAUGUAUAAUUUGAUGAUUACACCUAUGCCUAAGUUGUACAUGUAAGGUGUUUGAUAAAAUGCCUAAGAAACUAUAAAUCAUGCAUUAUUGCUAAAUUAUGACCUAAUUGACAAAUGCAUGCUUUAACCUUGUGAAGAUAAUGACUUAUAUGAUAUUGUUGUAUGUUAUGAUUGUUGAUGGGGUGCUUAUGAAACUAGAUUGAUGAACUUAUGACAAUAUGAUAUAUGCAUGCUAUCUGAUGUUCCGGCUUCCGACGGAACAUCUUUAGGCCUUUUUCUUAAGAUAAAUGCAUGUUUGAUCAACUAAUGUUGUAUUUGAUAUUGUAUUUAAGUGUUUUCAGGACAAAACCCAAGUGGGAUAAAUUACUUAAGAAAAUGGGCAAAACCAGAAGAAAAUUACAUGCGAUGGAGAGUUUGACAGAUCGGCAGAACCUCGACGGACCGUCGGGACCCACCGUUGCAAAGGAGCAGAAGACCAGGCCACUGGAAUCAUGCGACGAUGGCAUGCAACAGACCAUCGGACUUACGACAGACCAUCAAAAGACACCGUCGUGGCUGAGCAAAAUCCAUCGACAUUGGAAUCAAGCAAUGGUCACGUGCGAUGGACCGUCGGACAUGCGACAGAUCGUCGACGUGCACCGUUACACUUGGCGCGACAAAUUUCAAGUUUUAAAUGUGAAACCCUGAUUUCAAGAGUCCUAUAAAUACUAAGUGAUAGGGUUUAUUUCAGACACUCUUACAUUUUCAUUAUUAUCUUCCACACUUUCUUAGCCUCCUUCUUAGCUUAGUGUUUUUCUUUCAUUCCCACCUACCUUUGACUUUUCUUUUGGAAGCUAGAUCUGAGAUCUACAUUUCCAGAUCUAGCUCUCUACCCUUCUUUUGUAUCUUGUUUUUCUACUUCUUUUGUAACUUGGCAUAUUGUGGGAAGUAAGCUUUAGCUUUGGGAUUUUAAUCAUUUUAUUUGUACUGAAGACUCAAGAACACAUUCUUGUCAUUGUUGUAAAUAGAUCUUAAAUUAUUUAUGAACAACAUAAUGAUAUUUUUUGCUUCUUCUAUGGAAA